Molecule: ribosomal RNA, 493 nt
Filed under: uncultured bacterium
Lineage: Bacteria
Description: partial 16S ribosomal RNA
Rfam family: Bacterial small subunit ribosomal RNA
Source: RNAcentral
AUUGAACGCUGGCGGCAUGCCUUACACAUGCAAGUCGAACGGUAACAGGUUAAGCUGACGAGUGGCGAACGGGUGAGUAAUAUAUCGGAACGUGCCCAGUCGUGGGGGAUAACGUAGCGAAAGCUACGCUAAUACCGCAUACGAUCUACGGAUGAAAGCGGGGGAUCGCAAGACCUCGCGCGAUUGGAGCGGCCGAUAUCAGAUUAGGUUGUUGGUGAGGUAAAAGCUCACCAAGCCUGCGAUCUGUAGCUGGUCUGAGAGGACGACCAGCCACAAUGGAACUGGAACACGGUCCAGACUCCUACGGGAGGCAGCAGUGGGGAAUUUUGGACAAUGGACGCAAGUCUGAUCCGGCAAUGCCGCGUGCAGGACGAAGGCCUUCGGGUUGUAAACUGCUUUUGUACGGAACGAAACGGUGAGCUCUAAUACCGUUUGCUAAUGACGGUACCGUAAGAAUAAGCACCGGCUAACUACGUGCCAGCAGCCGCCGUAA